RNAcentral lists this transfer RNA (72 nucleotides) under Loxodonta africana (African savanna elephant). It matches the Rfam family "tRNA". Rfam says of the family: Transfer RNA (tRNA) molecules are approximately 80 nucleotides in length. Lineage: Eukaryota; Metazoa; Chordata; Mammalia; Proboscidea; Elephantidae. The record is from Rfam by way of RNAcentral.
CCCUGGGUGGCUAAGUGGUUAAGUGUUGGGCUACAAACCUAAAGGCUGGUGGUUGGAAUGCACCCAGAGGCA